GACGAACGCUGGCGGCGUGCCUAAUACAUGCAAGUAGAACGCACAGUUUAUACCGUAGCUUGCUACACCAUAGACUGUGAGUUGCGAACGGGUGAGUAACGCGUAGGUAACCUGCCUGGUAGCGGGGGAUAACUAUUGGAAACGAUAGCUAAUACCGCAUAAUAUUAAUUAUUGCAUGAUAAUUAAUUGAAAGGUGCAAUUGCACCACUACCAGAUGGACCUGCGUUGUAUUAGCUAGUAGGUGAGGUAACGGCUCACCUAGGCGACGAUAAAUAGCCGACCGGAGGUGGUGGGCAGCCACACUGAGAGUGAGACCCGGCACAGUCGCCUACAGGAGGCAGCAGUAGGGAAACUUCGGGAAGGGGCGGAAGUCAGACCGAGAAACGCCGCAGGAGUAAAGAAGGUUUUCGGGUCGUAAAGCACUGUUGUAAGGGAAUAACGGGUGUGAGAGUGGAAAGUUCACACUGUGACGGUAUCUGAUCAGAAAGGAACGGCUAACUACGUG
This 505-nucleotide ribosomal RNA is filed under the name uncultured bacterium. RNAcentral describes it as "partial 16S ribosomal RNA". It matches the Rfam family "Bacterial small subunit ribosomal RNA", at positions 28 to 507 of the family's 1533-position model. The record is from RNAcentral.